This 401-nucleotide ribosomal RNA is filed under the name Hepatozoon felis. Its description in RNAcentral is "SSU rRNA". It matches the Rfam family "Eukaryotic small subunit ribosomal RNA", at positions 452 to 846 of the family's 1831-position model. Lineage: Eukaryota; Apicomplexa; Hepatozoidae. The record is from RNAcentral.
UAACAGCAUAAGAGAGGUAGUGACAAGAAAUAACAAUACAAGGCAGUUAAAAUGCUUUGUAAUUGGAAUGAUAGAAAUUUAAACACUUUUUAAAGUAUCAAUUGGAGGGCAAGUCUGGUGCCAGCAGCCGCGGUAAUUCCAGCUCCAAUAGCGUAUAUUAAAAUUGUUGCAGUUAAAAAGCUCGUAGUUGAAUUUCUGCUAAAAAUAACCGGUCUGCUUUUAAUAAAGGUGGUAUCUUGGUGUGUUUUUAGCAAUAAUGUCCUUUGAAAUGUUUUUUACUUCAUUGUAAUAAAUUAUAUUUAGGAUUUUUACUUUGAGAAAAUUAGAGUGUUUCUAGCAGGCUAAUGCUUUGAAUACUGCAGCAUGGAAUAAUAAAAUAGGAUUUUGGUUCUACAUUAUUG